Molecule: transfer RNA, 72 nt
Filed under: Camelus bactrianus (Bactrian camel)
Lineage: Eukaryota; Metazoa; Chordata; Mammalia; Artiodactyla; Camelidae
Also listed under: 2 other names
Rfam family: tRNA
About the family: Transfer RNA (tRNA) molecules are approximately 80 nucleotides in length. Their secondary structure includes four short double-helical elements and three loops (D, anti-codon, and T loops).
Source: Rfam by way of RNAcentral
GAAGGUAUAGCUCAGUGGUAGAGCACAUGCUUAGCAUGCACAAGGUCCUGGGUUCAAUCCCCAGUAUCUCCA